Molecule: long non-coding RNA, 233 nt
Filed under: Salvia miltiorrhiza (redroot sage)
Lineage: Eukaryota; Viridiplantae; Streptophyta; Magnoliopsida; Lamiales; Lamiaceae
Description: long non-coding RNA (SMIL_LNC013050)
Source: RNAcentral
AAAAGAAAAAAAAAAGAAAAAAAAGAAAAAGAAAAAAAUGUGAAGUCGAGUGUACAUUGAGAAAUUGGUUAGAAAAUCGACUUUGUUUGUUGGAAAUAAAUGGAGAGCAUAAAAAAGUGUUUAGUUCUGUUUUGUGAUGAUUAAAUCCCUUGAGUUGUGUUGAUUAUGGUGAUAUAGUUGGGUGGAAGAUGGAAUUUAUUCCAUGCUUGAUUAGUGAAGUCAUAAGGUUGGUG